RNA transcript from Herpailurus yagouaroundi (jaguarundi), 2466 nucleotides. It is a transcript of the gene named CUGBP Elav-like family member 3, with no coding region annotated. The transcript is spliced from 14 exons. NCBI's taxonomy places the organism in Eukaryota, Metazoa, Chordata, Mammalia, Carnivora, Felidae. The record is from RefSeq and is a predicted model, not a curated record.
AUGAAGGAGCCGGAUGCCAUCAAGCUGUUUGUGGGGCAGAUCCCGAGGCAUCUGGAGGAAAAGGACCUGAAGCCCAUCUUUGAACAGUUCGGUCGGAUCUUCGAGCUGACUGUCAUCAAGGACAAGUACACCGGGCUGCACAAGGGAUGUGCCUUCCUGACAUACUGUGCCCGCGAUUCAGCCCUGAAGGCCCAGAGCGCCCUGCACGAACAGAAGACGCUUCCAGGGAUGAACAGGCCAAUCCAGGUCAAGCCAGCCGACAGCGAGAGCCGAGGAGAAGACCGGAAGCUCUUUGUGGGGAUGCUAGGGAAGCAGCAGACAGAUGAGGACGUCAGAAAGAUGUUCGAGCCUUUUGGGACCAUAGACGAGUGCACUGUGCUCCGGGGGCCAGAUGGCACCAGCAAAGGCUGCGCCUUUGUGAAGUUCCAGACCCAUGCUGAGGCCCAGGCAGCCAUCAACACCCUUCACAGCAGCCGGACCCUGCCAGGUGCCUCGUCCAGCCUGGUGGUGAAGUUUGCUGACACAGAGAAGGAGCGAGGUCUCCGCCGAAUGCAGCAGGUGGCCACCCAGCUGGGCAUGUUCAGCCCCAUCGCCCUGCAGUUUGGAGCCUACAGCGCCUACACCCAGGCCCUGAUGCAGCAGCAGGCAGCCCUGGUAGCGGCUCACAGUGCCUACCUCAGCCCUAUGGCCACCAUGGCUGCCGUGCAGAUGCAGCACAUGGCUGCCAUCAAUGCCAAUGGCCUCAUCGCCACCCCCAUCACCCCAUCCUCAGGAACCAGCACCCCUCCUGCCAUGGCCGCCACGCCCGUCUCUGCGAUCCCUGCCGCCCUGGGUGUCAACGGCUACAGCCCGGUGCCCACCCAGCCCACCGGGCAGCCUGCCCCCGAUGCUCUGUAUCCCAACGGGGUUCACCCCUAUCCAGCCCAGAGCCCCGCGGCCCCCGUGGACCCCCUGCAGCAGGCCUACGCGGGGAUGCAGCACUACACAGCAGCCUACCCAGCAGCCUACAGCCUGGUUGCGCCCGCGUUCCCACAGCCUCCCGCCCUGGUCGCCCAGCAGCCCCCCCCUCCUCCCCAGCAGCAGCAGCAACAGCAGCAGCAGCAGCAGCAGCAAAGGGAAGGCCCUGACGGCUGCAACAUCUUCAUCUACCACCUGCCCCAGGAGUUCACGGACUCAGAGAUCCUCCAGAUGUUUGUCCCCUUUGGCCAUGUCAUCUCAGCCAAAGUCUUUGUUGACCGGGCCACCAACCAGAGCAAGUGUUUUGGCUUUGUGAGUUUCGACAAUCCGGCCAGCGCUCAGGCUGCCAUCCAGGCCAUGAACGGUUUCCAGAUUGGCAUGAAGCGCCUCAAAGUCCAGCUAAAGCGGCCUAAGGAUGCCAACAGGCCCUACUGAGGGCCCCCAGCCCAGGGCCCGUGUCCAUUGUCGGCCGAAGCCCCCAUCCCCGGACCCCUGCUCCGGGCCCCUGUCUGGAGACACCAGAGGAAGGGGCGCCACACCCCACUCCCCACGACUGGCCCCAGCCCUCUCUGCACACCUGCCCAGGGCCUCCAUGGGGCUCUGGGGCAAAAGCUGCUUCAUAGCCCUGGGGGAGCAGGACACCGGCCCAUCCCAGCACCCUGCCCCUCCUGAAGGGCCUGUUUCCUCCCAGGUGCCCUUUUGGCCUUUGUGAGGGACCAAGGGACAGGCUCGAAGGCUCCGGGGGAUCUGCCUUCUGCUGGGGCUCCUGUGGUGACCUUCUGGCCCAGCUUUCGCACUUGCGUCCCCCACCAGCGGGCCUGUGGCCCCGGGAGGGCAGCGGGGGCCUCCCACAAGCUCCCCACCUCACCUUUGCCCCAGCCUCUUCCCCACCUUAGGGGUUUCUCAGAAGCUGGUUCUCACACUCCCUGCCACCCUCAGCUAGAGGUAGAAUAUCCCUGGACCCUGGACCCUGGGCCCCCGGCCCUAAAACUCACUGCCUCCCCCAUGGGCCCCUCUAAGGAGGGUGUGGGGGAGCCCUGAGGGCUGCCUCUCCACCAGUCAGCCACAGAGACCCUCCUCCUUUCACGAGGAAAAGACUUCCCGCGAACCCCUAAGAAUGUUUACAGUCUCUGCUGGUCCCUCCGUGUAAAUACCACUACCACCGUGCGUUAUCCAGCCCGGCCCGGCCCGGAUGCUGCCACCUCUCUUUCUGGGAGUUUAGACAAUGUUUCCCUUGGAUUUUUUCUCUCUCUUGAUUUCUCCCUUUGCUUUGGGGGUAAUUGGGUGUUUGGGAGGAGGGGUGUGGGGAGGGUGACAGGGGUUUAUUACCUGAUCAUUUUCUUUAGAAAGAGGUUUUAGGGGAAAGAAACGGGUGGGGGGAGGGAGUGGUAAGGGGAGACUGGGGAGUCCGUUUCAGACACUUCUCUAUGCUUAACUUAUUUAUUUAUUGCAUUUUACUUUUAAAGAGUUGGUCUUUUCUGUCUAAAUAAAGAAAACAGUUUAAAAGCA